Molecule: transfer RNA, 91 nt
Filed under: Bacteroidota bacterium
Lineage: Bacteria; Pseudomonadati; Bacteroidota
Description: Bacteroidetes bacterium (hydrothermal vent metagenome) tRNA-Ser
Rfam family: tRNA
About the family: Transfer RNA (tRNA) molecules are approximately 80 nucleotides in length. Their secondary structure includes four short double-helical elements and three loops (D, anti-codon, and T loops).
Source: RNAcentral
GGAGAGUUGCCGGAGUGGUCGAACGGGGCGGUCUCGAAAACCGUUGUACGCGUUGCGCGUACCAAGGGUUCGAAUCCCUUACUCUCCGCAA